AACCAUUCUCACCUGCGGCUAGACCUGCGGAAGGAUCAUUACCGAGUGCGGGCCCUCGCGGCCCAACCUCCCACCCUUGUCUCUCUAUACCUGUUGCUUUGGCGGGCCCACCGUGGCUAGGUCGCCGGGAGACGAACGUCUCCGGGCCCGCGCCCGCCGAAGCGCUCUGUGAACCCUGAUGAAGAUGGGCUGUCUGAGUAGUAUGAAAAUUGUCAAAACUUUUAACAAUGGAUCUCAGAU
Molecule: unclassified non-coding RNA, 240 nt
Filed under: soil metagenome
Description: partial contains 5.8S ribosomal RNA, internal transcribed spacer 2, and large subunit ribosomal RNA
Source: RNAcentral